RNAcentral lists this long non-coding RNA (1703 nucleotides) under Malus domestica (apple). Its description in RNAcentral is "long non-coding RNA (MDOM_LNC013030)". Lineage: Eukaryota; Viridiplantae; Streptophyta; Magnoliopsida; Rosales; Rosaceae. The record is from RNAcentral.
UGACCUCACGAAUGAUACGAUGUUGGCCACACUCGUUGCCUACCUUAAUCUCAUCAAAUGUUUUAAAUAAACUCCUCCUGAGUAUAAGCAUGCACUUUGCACUCCCCCAUGAUAGGGUGAAGGCGGUGUACAAGUCAUAAACGAUUGGAGCCUACCACGGUGGAAGGCCACGAAAAAGUGUUCAAAGCACUCUCACGCUUAUCAACUUAAUAAUGGUUUGGUUGAGGGUUUUUAGGUCUCAUCACAUAUAAAUAUUCAUUUUAAUCUUUAUUAAAACAAUUUUGGUCCUAUUACAACUAUUGGUCUAUUUGAUUGAAUUUAGUUGUAUAUAAUACUCCCACUAUGCUUAUAAAACGGUUUUUAAAGCAAGAGUAUAUGAUACUACUAACAUAAACUUUGCAUUCAUUUGAUGGACUAUAUAGUUGCCUUAGGGCCUUAGGAUGACUAUGAACCUUUGUUUAGAUUCAACACGAGCCUAGUGUUGAAUCUCGGUCUAGGGAAGGUGAUUGAUUUUAGUUACGCGUUUCAUCGCAUUAAGGCGUGUUGUCUUAGGGGCGUUGGAUGCUCUACUCCAUUUUCAUGCAUAUCAAAUAAAACAAGAAAAAGAGUACUUUAAAGUAAAGAAGAGCUUAUGCUCUUUUACAACAAUGAUCAAAACAAAUUACUUUAAAGUAAAGAAGAGCUUAUGCUCUUUUACAACAUUUGAUGAAAUCAAAUUACAACCAAAAUCUAAUCUACACAUUCCCAUGGUUCAAACAAAUUUGAAACGGCCUUUCACAUAGCUCAAUUAUCGUAGGCUUAGGUUCAUAAUCACCCUUUAAUUAAUUAACGCUUUAACUAAUUAAAUUGAAUGCAACAUUUUCAUUUGGUUUUUGUAUCCAUAAAAUUGAUUUAAAUGGAGCUAAAUGAAAUGAAAAUCCAAUUCUCAUUUAAAGAGACAAAACAAGUUUGUUCUCAACUUAAUUUGGGCCAAAAUGCAAUAACCUCAACUUUUGGGCUAUAUUGCAAAAACAUAAACUUUUGGGGUCACUUUGUAAAAACACAAAAGUCCACUACUUCAUGUAAUUACAACUAGAACCCAAAAAUUUCAACAAAUACAAAAACUUCAUUAAAGGAGCAAAACAAUUUGUCCUUUAGCAUUUUUGGACCUAAACGUAAAAACGUAAACUUUUGGGCCAAAGUGCAAAUUACACAAAAGUAUCAAAACUUUAUGUAAUUGCAUAAAAGCCCCAAAAGUACUCCCAUUGAGGGAGUGGCUGGUUUUAGAGAAGUGAGUGAUGGUGUGUGAGUUGAUUUUUGAAGCUUUGACAUAAAGCAUGCAAGUGGUGCAUGACAUAAAUGUCAUGCAAGUGGUGUGUGUGAAAGGGAAUUAAUCCUUACACACCCACCAAUAUUUCUUACACCUUUCUAAAUAAAUAUCUAACACAUUUAAAUAUAUGAUAAAUCAUAAAACAAAAACUUUAUGAAAUAAAUGAAAACUUUGAAUCAAAACACCAAACUUUUUGUUCUUGGCAAAAAUGUCAAGAACAAUGAAGAACACUCAUGAAAAACUCAAAAAAUUUCCAUGAACAUUUGUCACCCAAAAACAUCCCAAAACCAUUCAAACUUAAGGGAAAUAACAUAUAACCAUACUAGGGUACAUAGGGGUUCCAAAAGUCACUUGAAAACACUUUUAACAAGUCAAACAAGAACCCAAAAAUCCA